GGAAAGGUGGCUGAGUGGUUGAAGGCACUGGUUUCGAAAACCAGCAAGGGUGAAAGCUCUUCGAGAGUUCGAAUCUCUCCCUUUCCG
This 87-nucleotide transfer RNA is filed under the name Candidatus Zambryskibacteria bacterium RIFCSPHIGHO2_01_FULL_43_27. Its description in RNAcentral is "tRNA-Ser". It matches the Rfam family "tRNA". From Rfam's summary of the family: Transfer RNA (tRNA) molecules are approximately 80 nucleotides in length. Their secondary structure includes four short double-helical elements and three loops (D, anti-codon, and T loops). Lineage: Bacteria; Candidatus Zambryskiibacteriota. RNAcentral also lists the same sequence under 2 other names. The record is from RNAcentral.